AUGAUCAAACCAAACAAACAGCCACUUGGUAACAUGUGAGUACUUUUCAGAUGGAAGCAUCUCUUUAUUUUAUCCGAAUAGGACAAGUCCCUGGUCUCAACAGACAUCUCUUGUUAUCGGUCGGACGAUGGCGGAAGGGUAGUUGUUCUUUGGAUUACCUAACACUAAAGGAUACAAGACGUUUAUGGUAUCAUAGAGGGGUCCACACACGUUAUUAUUUAUCUUAUACUGGGUCUGUCUUUAUAUAUUGGCUUGUUGAUAUUGCUUAAGCUUGGCUUGUGCACCAAUUUUCUUUUGUAAACAACAUGAUGUAUGCUCAGGAUGUUUUGGAUGAAAGUUAUAUAUGUUACAGUCAAUGUCUACAGGCAAUGUGUACAAUGCCUUUGUAACCCCCAACCCUUACCCUAAACCUAACCCUAACCCGGCAAUGUACACAUUGACUGGUAUAUUUCAGGCAUUGUACACAUUGCCUGAUUGUAGACAUUGACUGUCACAUAUAUAGA
Long non-coding RNA from Patella vulgata (common limpet), 503 nucleotides. RefSeq lists it as uncharacterized. The transcript has 3 exons. The record is from RefSeq and is a predicted model, not a curated record. Lineage: Eukaryota; Metazoa; Mollusca; Gastropoda; Patellidae.